AAAGAAAGUCUAGUUUGGUGGUCAUUGUUACCAAGCUCGAAGAAAAGCUUUUUUUGUUUCAAAAAACCAACUCAAGAAUUUCCGUCGCAAAACAGCUUGACGGUAUCAAGAACUCUAAGGAUUUUGGCAUCUACCUACUACCUUCAAAGGUAGAAAGCUUAUGUGUGGUAGUGGCAUAUCCUUGCCAAUGUGGACUUGUCAAUUUAGCGAACUGUUAGAAGAGAAGGGGCUAAGAAUACAACCUUGCCUUACGCCUGAUUCCACGUGAAACCAGUCUGAAAUGCCUGUUUCCACGCACACUGAUGAGAUGCUUUUGUCGUAAACAGACAUAAUUAUAUGAAUUAAUUUAGAAUAUUGUUGUAAGAUUUGGUGAAGGCUUAUCGGAACCUGUCCACAGACGAUCUGCUAAACCUCAGGGUUCUCAUUCUGGUGCGAUUUUAUUUAUUUUUUAAUAACGUCACCUCUGCUCUCAUUAGUUUUUCAUUCUCACUUAUGGAAGAGGUGGCGGAUGGACUACCUCACCAGUUUACAACCACGCCCAAAAUGGACUGCCAACCAUCCUAAUCUAGAACCAGGCACCCUCGUUCUAAUAAAGGAUUCGGCUUCCCCUCCUUUAUCUUGGCCAACUGCUCGAGUGGUCGAACAGUAUCCUGGGGAAGAUGGCAUUGUAAGAGUUGUCAAACUAAAAACACCUACCGGCCAGUAUGUGAGACCUGUUUCCCGCCUUGUACCUCUUUUUCCGCAGCCUGAUUCUGAGCACGUUGAAAAGAGGCAUGAGAACAGUUCACAUUCAAUAAAAAUUUUUCCUUAUUUUUGUUUGUAAAAAUUUGGUGGGCGGAAUGUUGACGCCCCAAGAAGCUUUCAUUUUUUUUGUUGUUUUCGGCUGACCAAGGUUCGCCUCGGAGGCCCUGUUUAACUCGCUGAGGCCCCAUUGUUUUUAUUUUGGCAAGCGAUAACGCCGGUGUCUUCGGCCUUUGCACGGGAGCAAGUUAGUCUCUCGCUUGCCUGGGUCAGCACAAGACGCACCGUUCACCAUAUCGAUUAUCGAACCUUAUAUCGAUUCCCUUUGGCCAUUCA
Molecule: long non-coding RNA, 1077 nt
Organism: Cimex lectularius (bed bug)
Lineage: Eukaryota; Metazoa; Arthropoda; Insecta; Hemiptera; Cimicidae
Exons: 2
Source: RefSeq, a predicted model, not a curated record